UUUUUUUUUUUUUUUUUUUUUUUUUUUUUUUCCG
Molecule: non-coding RNA, 34 nt
Filed under: Alexandrium minutum
Lineage: Eukaryota; Dinophyceae; Gonyaulacales; Pyrocystaceae
Source: RNAcentral